CAACUAUCAGUCUGUGCAGACUUUAAACUUAUCCUUUUUCUUACCUUGGCUUUGUCUGCUUACUCGAGAAGCAAAACCACUCGAUCCCAAAGGCGUGUAUGUGUUUAUAAUGUUUUUAGUUAAUAUUUCAUUUAUCAUAACUAGUAAGAUGUUAACUAUCAAAUUUCAUGACUAUCAAAUUUCAUGUGCUUUUCCCUAGCGCUUUAGUGUCUUUUUGUUUUCAGAUAAAGAGGAAAGGAGAGAUUUUGUGCUGUGGUUUUGGUUUUUGAAAAAUGGCUUCAGCUCUGUUACUGGUGGUGGUGUUUGUGUUUGAUCUGGUUGCUUUUGCUUUUGCCGUUGCUGCUGAGCAGAGGAGGAAUACUGUGAGUUUCUCUUUCCUUUUUUUUCCUUUCUGUCUGUCUGCGUGUUGAAUUUUUAAUCUUUUUUCUUUGAAUUUAUGUUGUUUGGCUAUAUGGGUCCUUAGAGCUGUUGUUGCUUUCUGUGUUUUACAUGUAGGAGUGUUCUGCUAAACAGUGUAAAUUAGGAAGAAGUCUUUAGCAUACUCUUCUAUUUCAGUUCGAUAUCGAUUGGUAAAAUUUAUUACUUGUUUAUGCCUGAGAACUGAAGAUAAAAGUCCCAAGAAGAACAGUUAACGGGAAAGAUUCCGUCUCAAUUCUCAAAUACUUGUAAAAUUCUGUUCUAGGUUUGAUGCAAAUCAGGGGAUCUAUGCGUUGUAUCUGCUUGGCCAUGGCUUAUUAAAUGUUUGCUAAUUCCUGUUUUCCAAACUAUAUUUGAUUUUGAACUUUAGAGGCUUAUACUCUACUAGUUUAUUUUCGAUUCGAAGGUCAUGAACUGUAUGGAGCAGCUAAGAUAUAACCUAAAAGCAAGUCUCUGAUGGUCUCCCUGAAAGAAUUAACUAGAGGAUAAUUUGUCAAUCUACGUAUUUAAUCUUCACAUUUCAGUAGAAACUAGAAGGAGUUGCGCUUAGAGUCUCCCCAUCAAUGCACAUUAACAGAACGGAAGGUCUUUCAUAGAAUUCUCAUUGACAUUCAGUGACUUAUUAACAUGCAAAGAAUCCGAUAGAGAUAAUUUAUAACUUCACAAUAGCAAGAUACUAAGCUCUAGUACUUUCAAAGAGAUAUGUUAAACUUCCUGUGCAUUUGUAUUGAGUUUUGUAAGCCUAUUAUUAUAUGUUCAUGUGCUUUGGUUCUGUCAGAUGAUGGAUGUGACCAACAACAAUCCCCUUCCCCUAUUCCUGAAGUUGAUUGUUCAUUGUUCCUUAAUCUCUCUCCAUCUUGGUGAAAAGCAGUCUCUUUACUUUUUUUUUUCUUUUUUUGUCAAAGUAAAAAGAUCCAUAUAGGUGACCUCAACUAGAUUGGAAUUAAUGCGACAUUGUUGUUGUCACUGUGGGUAGAUGAGGAUGGUUUCUUUUGCUUUUGGUUCGUAAUGGACUCAAGUAAUGGGAUUGAAUUAAAUUAUGCCUCCAUCCAUAACCUUUUUUUUGUUCAUAUAACUCAAGGAGAUGAGCAAUUGCAGAUUGCACCUUAACCUUGUAUUAUUUGAAAAGCGUCUGCCAACAUAUAAUUUCCUUGUCUUCUUUUACAGGCAGAGGUCAUCACACAAGAAGAUUAUAAGUACUGUAAAUAUGAUUCAGAUGUUGCAACUGGAUUAGGUGCUGGUGCGUUCGUGGCCCUUAUGGCUAGUCAAAUCCUAAUAAUGGUGGCAAGUAGAUGUUUGUGCUGUGGAAAGGCCAUGAGACCAAGUGGGUCUAGAACCUGGGCAAUUGUUCUAUUUAUCACCUGCUGGUAUGUGCCCAGCCUAACUUAGAAGAUGAGUCUCAUUCUAUCUGCUAACAAAUCUUGUGUAAGAAAAAUCUUGGCAUUCUAUUUCCCAUUUUCACUAAUUUGCUCUCUACAUUCUUAUGUCAGGGUAUUCUUUUUCAUUGCUGAGGUCUGCUUGUUAGCGGGUUCUGUUCGGAAUGCCUACCACACCAAGUACUACUUGUCAUCAGACCCUAACCUAUCAUGCCGGCAACUGAGAAAGGGUGUCUUUGGGGCUGGAGCUGCAUUUGUUGUCCUUACAGGCAUAGCAUCUGAGCUUUUCUAUGUAUCCUAUUCAAGGGCAAAUGACGGUCAGUCUUCAUAUAACAGAGACACUGGUGUGAGGAUGGGGAACCUAUAACUCAGUUCAGUUGGAGCGAGAGGCAAGAAAUAUUUCUAGCAUGGAACUUGUAUAUCAUGAAUGUGGACAUUUAACAGUUAACAUAGACACAUUAAGGUGUUUGAUUGUCUACUAUAGUCUUCUUUUUUUUCCCCUAUUUCUUCCAUUACCCAUUGUAGUUCGAAGAAAAAAAAGAAGUAGAAAUAUUGCCAACGGAGCUCCGCUUCGCCUCAACAAGAAGGAAGUCUAAGAUAAUCUUUGGUAUUGCAUUCUUUUUUUCAGUACAAUUACUUCCGAUUAGGACUCUGAAUUUGAGAUUUUAUAGUCCUGAAUAUGAUUACUCUAGUACGAUAUGGUACUCUUAGUUCAUGAGAAGAAAUUUUUUAAAACUGUAAGUUGAUAGUGUUGAGUUUACGGACUCUGGGAAAUUCUUGCUUAACUCGAUUAAUCGUUGAUUCGAGACAUAAAUAUGUGAGAUUUAUAUAUUAGUGUACGAGUCUCAUUAUCAUUUAUUUUUUAUUUUAAAUCUAUGUGGAAUGAGUUUAAAUAAAAAAAAUCCUACAGUCGCUUUAUCUCGUUCAAGUGAAGAAGUAUUGUCCGACAAUGAAGGCUGG
Molecule: unclassified non-coding RNA, 2753 nt
Filed under: Hevea brasiliensis (rubber tree)
Lineage: Eukaryota; Viridiplantae; Streptophyta; Magnoliopsida; Malpighiales; Euphorbiaceae
Source: RNAcentral